This is a long non-coding RNA of Ahaetulla prasina, 2119 nucleotides long. RefSeq lists it as uncharacterized. The record is from RefSeq and is a predicted model, not a curated record. NCBI's taxonomy places the organism in Eukaryota, Metazoa, Chordata, Lepidosauria, Squamata, Colubridae. The transcript is spliced from 4 exons.
GGGUAUGAGUGCAAUGGUUCGCUUCCAUUAUAUUUUCAGGAAUGAUAACAUAAUAGCAUCAUUAAAGAUAGCAUAAUAACUAAUAGCUGUUAGUAGCUUUAUCCACUUGAGAUGUGUUUAAUGGUCCUAUGGAGCCAUCAAAGUUAAGCAGGUGCCCAAUAUCUGCUGGACAUUUAAUCCUCAACAAUAUGUAACCUCUUGCUGAUGGCUAAACUAAUCAAGUUGGAGUGGGGGGAGAUGUGACAUGGCUUGCUCAACAAAAACAACCUCUUUGAAAAGAUUGAAGGCAAACUAUGUCCAGGCAGAAGAAGAACAUCACGGCUUCAAAACCUAAGGGACUGGUUUGGACAAAACUCAGCAGCACUUUUUCCUGCGGCUGGUAACAAAAAUAGGAUUGCCAACAUGAUCACCAAUAUCUGAUGAUGGAUAUGGCACAGGAAGAAGAAGAAGAAGAAGAAGCCACUCUAUCCUGUUUAAAAGUGAAAGGACUAGAGGAAAAGAGCCGGAGCCCGGCCGAAGUUUCCCGUGCUGCUUCAGUGAGUGCUCCUCGAGAGAUGAGAGUUGCAGGGGGCCAAUCUGGCAUCGGCAAUAGUGAGCAAAAUCCAGCUGCUCCCCGGACCAGUUGCCAUUUACAGCUCCAAGUCCCAAGAGGCAGGAGAUGAGGGCUGCUUUGUGCCACCGGCUGGGCAAAUAUACUGAGGCGGAAUGCUGAUGCUGCACAAGUGCAAGUAGUGCUUUGCUCCCAUAGCUUCCAGUUAUCGCAAUCGCUGCUUCGGCCCACUUGCGCCGCAGCUCCUCCACAAGGGUGCACUGGCAAAAAUAUGAAGAUUUCUCCACGGACCACCAAAAUUUUCCUGCAGACCACCAAUGGUCUGUGGAUCACCGGUUGGUGACCACUGAAUUAAACUAUCCCUUCUAAAAGUUCCAAAAAGUCACAGCCUUGCCAUGGAUCUUUUACUUUGCAAAUCCUGUCUGCCUGUCUUAAUGAUUCAGAAAUUAUUUGCAAUUAUUCCUAAUUAUUUCAGAAAUCCAGGCAGCCAUAGUUUAUUUUCUCCCAUUUGAAGGCAGGAAACCCUGCCUUAACCCUGAUCCAUUGCUGCAUAAGAAAUUUGCCAGCUUGUGUGGCCAAAUAAGGUUCAGGAGUCCAUGGAGAUUGCUCAGCUUCAGUUUUCUCAGGACUGACGUGUCUUUUGUAAUAAUACAUUAUUUCUGAAUAAACUUCGUGAUUUGUAAACAAGCCUAUUUAAUUCAUAAACCAGCCCUUGUGAGAUUCUCUUUUUCUCUUUUGUUUUUAUUCUUUUGAAGAUGUCUUUUCACUAGCUGAUUUAAAACAUUAAAACAUUCUCUGACUCAAGAACAGCUGCAAAAGUUCUUCCAUUUCCCACUUCUAACUCAUGUUGGCUCACAACCAAAGCCAAAUUCCUAGCAAGGCCAAAAACAGAGAAGAAGCUACAAGAACAAGAUGGUGUUCUUAAUAAGCCUAUCUCUAAUAAGUCAGGUGAAAGAUGGCCCAAUUUUUAAUGAAAACACAAUAGCAAUGCAUUUCCAGAGAUGGCUGACAUUUCUCUGAUCUCUCUUAAUUUUUCUGGGAAAGUCAUUAUCAAGAAAAAGAAGAAAAUGUCAACAAUCCUUGCCAAUGACUGUUCAUAAUGCUGUUCUGACCAAAUAGUUUAAAAAUAUAUGCUGUCUGGUGUGGGCUUUUCCAUGUCCCCAGAUAAAAUUAAGCUCUGUGAAAUAUUUUUGUCCUUGCACUGCCUCUGCAAGGCGGCUUGUUUCAAAAACAAACAUUUGUUUUAUUCAGAAGUAUUGAAUAACUGCAGACAUGGGUGGUCAAAACAAAAGUGCUAUAUCAGAACAGUGAGAAUUAACCUUGAAAACUUUGAGAGACUGGAAUGUUAUUCCAAACAAAUUAUUCUGAGAAAUUUCUUUAUCUUUAUUUAUGUAUUUGAAAUCUCCUUGUAGACAAAUAUCUUCCCAAGGCAGCUUCCAGCAGAAAAAUAGAAACCAAUUUUUUGUAUUUAAAUGUUUUUUAACAGGAACCAUUAUAAAAACAAACCUAAACAGUCACCCUAACCUAUAAAUGUAAUCCUAUCAAUUACCAUAAAAUAAAUUUAAACCA